RNAcentral lists this long non-coding RNA (292 nucleotides) under Linum usitatissimum (flax). Its description in RNAcentral is "long non-coding RNA (LUSI_LNC000869)". The record is from RNAcentral. Lineage: Eukaryota; Viridiplantae; Streptophyta; Magnoliopsida; Malpighiales; Linaceae.
CAUCCAGUGAUACACUUUCAGUGCCUCUUUGGGUCGAUUUCUUUUCAAGUAAGAGGAGAUGAGCAAUGAUGCGAUGGGGCUCUGGUAGGAAUGUGCAGAUGGGUUGUGCCUUAGAACUGUGAGGAGUGACAUGGGUUUGGCCAUGUCAGGCUCUGAGGUGAGGGAGUGGAUGAAGAUGGAUAAAGAGAGGGACUUUGGAGGUGGGUUCGUGAGGAGUGCUGUUGUUAUGAGGUGGAUUGCUGUGGGGAGGUUCUCGGAGACGAUGCAUAGCCGUGGGAUUAGGAGGUUGAUU